This 503-nucleotide ribosomal RNA is filed under the name uncultured bacterium. RNAcentral's name for it is "partial 16S ribosomal RNA". It matches the Rfam family "Bacterial small subunit ribosomal RNA", at positions 30 to 523 of the family's 1533-position model. The record is from RNAcentral.
AUUGAACGCUGGCGGCAGGCUUAACACAUGCAAGUCGAGCGGGGUGAUGGUGCUUGCACUAUCACUUAGCGGCGGACGGGUGAGUAAUGCUUAGGAAUCUGCCUAUUAGUGGGGGACAACAUCUCGAAAGGGAUGCUAAUACCGCAUACGUCCUACGGGAGAAAGCAGGGGAUCACUUGUGACCUUGCGCUAAUAGAUGAGCCUAAGUCGGAUUAGCUAGUUGGUGGGGUAAAGGCCUACCAAGGCGACGAUCUGUAGCGGGUCUGAGAGGAUGAUCCGCCACACUGGGACUGAGACACGGCCCAGACUCCUACGGGAGGCAGCAGUGGGGAAUAUUGGACAAUGGGGGGGACCCUGAUCCAGCCAGGCCGCGUGUGUGAAGAAGGCCUUAUGGCUGUAAAGCACUUUAAGCGAGGAGGAGGCUCUCUUGGUUAAUACCCAGAAUGAGUGGACGUUACUCGCAGAAUAAGCACCGGCUAGCUCUGUGCCAGCCGCCGCCGUAA